AGCAGCCGCGGUAAUUCCAGCUCCAAUAGCGUAUAUUAAAGUUGUUGCAGUUAAAAAGCUCGUAGUUGAAUUUCGGGAUCAAUAUGUCGGUCGUGCCUCCGGUACGUACUGGCAUCAUUGAUUUCUCCCUUCUGACGAACCAUGAUGUCAUUAAUUUGGUGUCAUGGGGAAUCAGGACUGUUACUUUGAAAAAUUAGAGUGUUUAAAGCAGGCUCACGCUUGAAUACAUUAGCAUGGAAUAAUGAAAUAGGUACGUUUGAUUCUAUUUUGUUGGUUCUAGGGUCGACGUAAUGAUUAAUAGGGAUAGUUGGGGCAUUAGUAUUCAAUUGUCAGAGGUGAAA
This 341-nucleotide ribosomal RNA is filed under the name uncultured Glomeromycotina. RNAcentral's name for it is "SSU rRNA". It matches the Rfam family "Eukaryotic small subunit ribosomal RNA", at positions 569 to 916 of the family's 1831-position model. The record is from RNAcentral. Lineage: Eukaryota; Fungi; Glomeromycota.